Long non-coding RNA from Populus euphratica (Euphrates poplar), 328 nucleotides. RefSeq lists it as uncharacterized. The transcript is spliced from 2 exons. The record is from RefSeq and is a predicted model, not a curated record. Lineage: Eukaryota; Viridiplantae; Streptophyta; Magnoliopsida; Malpighiales; Salicaceae.
AGUAUAAAAAUACUCCAAUGUUAGUAUUUUUUAUUUGCAUUAGGAUUACGGAUAUGCCUAAGUCUUUCCGCAGCAGAUGGAAAAACUGAAACUUUUACCUUCUCGUUUCCCACCCUAAUCUAAGUGAACCUGCACAUCUGGCAUGGAAUUUCAUGUGAAGUGUUACAUUAUAGAUUUGGUUUGUUGAAGAAUAUUAAGUUGAAUUUUUUUUUAAGGGAAUUGAAGCUGCUUUUGUUUUAUUUUUUGAUAGAUACUCCAUAUUGUAAUAGGGUGAACGCCUAUCAUUUGGCUUUGGUUUCUGAUAAUUUAAAUGAAAUUCCUGUCUUUU